UUAAUCCUACGGGGGGCAGCAGUGAGGAAUAUUGGUCAAUGGGCGGAAGCCUGAACCAGCCACGCCGCGUGAGGGAGGAAGGUACAGAGUAUCGUAAACCUCUUUUGUCAGGGAACAAAGGCGGGGACGUGUCCCCGGAUGAGUGUACCUGAAGAAAAAGCAUCGGCUAACUCCGUGCCAGCAGCCGCGGUAAUACGGAGGAUGCGAGCGUUAUCCGGAUUUAUUGGGUUUAAAGGGUGCGCAGGCGGUCUGUUAAGUCAGCGGUCAAAGCCCGGGGCUCAACCUCGGCC
This 290-nucleotide ribosomal RNA is filed under the name uncultured bacterium. RNAcentral's name for it is "partial 16S ribosomal RNA". It matches the Rfam family "Bacterial small subunit ribosomal RNA", at positions 333 to 620 of the family's 1533-position model. The record is from RNAcentral.